AACCAUUCUCACCUGCGGCUAGACCUGCGGAAGGAUCAUUAAAAAACUUUGCCCGCGGACCUUGGGUCCAAGGCGCAAAACCCACACUAUGUGCACUGUUAUCGUUCUUUUGGCAGGGGCUUGGGGUGUCUUCCAACUUGGGGAACCUCAACUUCUCGUCUAGCUCUAUCCACCUCGGACAGCUGGACAUGAGAAGCAGUUACUCUGCCAAGUGACCCUUAAAAACACGCUUUUUGUCUG
This 240-nucleotide unclassified non-coding RNA is filed under the name soil metagenome. Its description in RNAcentral is "partial contains 5.8S ribosomal RNA, internal transcribed spacer 2, and large subunit ribosomal RNA". The record is from RNAcentral.